RNAcentral lists this ribosomal RNA (500 nucleotides) under uncultured bacterium. RNAcentral describes it as "partial 16S ribosomal RNA". It matches the Rfam family "Bacterial small subunit ribosomal RNA", at positions 30 to 523 of the family's 1533-position model. The record is from RNAcentral.
AUUGAACGCUGGCGGCAUGCCUUACACAUGCAAGUCGAACGGCGGCACGGGUGCUUGCACCUGGUGGCGAGUGGCGAACGGGUGAGUAAUAUAUCGGAACGUACCUUAUUGUGGGGGAUAACGCAGCGAAAGCUGUGCUAAUACCGCAUAAUCCCUAAGGGGGAAAGCGGGGUACCGUAAGGCCUCGCGCAAUUAGAGCGGCCGAUACCUGAUUAGCUAGUUGGUGAGGUAAAGGCGCACCAAGGCAACGAUCAGUAGCUGGCCUGAGAGGACGAUCAGCCACACUGGGACUGAGACACGGCCCAGACUCCUACGGGAGGCAGCAGUGGGGAAUUUUGGACAAUGGGGGCAACCCUGAUCCAGCAAUGCCGCGUGAGUGAAGAAGGCCUUCGGGUUGUAAAGCUCUUUUGUCAGGGAAGAAACAGCAGCUCUACACAGUUUGCGAAUGACGGUACCUGAAGAAUAAGCACCGGCUAACUACGUGCCAGCCGCCGCCGUAA